RNAcentral lists this ribosomal RNA (422 nucleotides) under uncultured bacterium. RNAcentral describes it as "bacterial SSU rRNA". It matches the Rfam family "Bacterial small subunit ribosomal RNA", at positions 355 to 774 of the family's 1533-position model. The record is from RNAcentral.
UGAGGAAUAUUGGACAAUGGGUGGAAGCCUGAUCCAGCCAUCCCGCGUGAAGGAUGACGGUCCUAUGGAUUGUAAACUCCUUUUGUACAGGGAUAAACCUGCCCUCGUGAGGGCAGCUGAAGGUACUGUACGAAUAAGCACCGGCUAACUCCGUGCCAGCAGCCGCGGUAAUACGGAGGGUGCGAGCGUUAUCCGGAUUUAUUGGGUUUAAAGAGUCCGUAGGCGGGCCUGUAAGUCAGUGGUGAAAUCUCAUAGCUUAACUAUGAAACUGCCAUUGAUACUGCAGGCCUUGAGUAAAUUUGAAGUGGCUGGAAUAAGUAGUGUAGCGGUGAAAUGCAUAGAUAUUACUUAGAACACCGAUUGCGAAGGCAGGUCACUAAGAUUUAACUGACGCUGAUGGACGAAAGCGUGGGGAGCGAACA